Molecule: ribosomal RNA, 955 nt
Filed under: Clostridioides difficile
Lineage: Bacteria; Bacillati; Bacillota; Clostridia; Peptostreptococcales; Peptostreptococcaceae
Description: partial 23S ribosomal RNA
Rfam family: Bacterial large subunit ribosomal RNA
Source: RNAcentral
UUUAACUGAGCGUUCAGUUACUUGACGUAGACCCGAAACCGGGCGACCUACCCAUGAGCAGGAUGAAGCGAAAGUAAAAUUUCGUGGAGGUCCGAACCCACGAGCGUUGAAAAGCUCGGGGAUGACUUGUGGGUAGCGGUGAAAUUCCAAUCGAGCCCGGAGAUAGCUGGUUCUCCCCGAAAUAGCUUUAGGGCUAGCCUCAAGGUGAGAGAUACGGAGGUAGAGCACUGAAUGUCCUAGGGGGUAUUGCACCUACCGAAGACUAUCAAACUCCGAAUGCCGUCAUCUUAUACUUGGGAGUCAGACUGUGGGUGAUAAGAUUCAUAGUCGAAAGGGCAACAGCCCAGAUCGUCAGCUAAGGUCCCUAAAUGUAAGUUAAGUGGUAAAGGAUGUGGGAUUGCACAGACAACCAGGAUGUUGGCUUAGAAGCAGCCACUCAUUCAAAGAGUGCGUAAUAGCUCACUGGUCGAGUGAUCCUGCGCCGAAGAUUUCCGGGGCUAAAACUUACUACCGAAGCUACGGCAUCAGUAAUGAUGGGUAGGGGAGCUUCCCAUACGGGUUGAAGCAUGACCGUAAGGACAUGUGGACAGUAUGGGAGUGAGAAUGUUGGCAUGAGUAGCGAGAUGUGGGUGAGAAUCCCACAGGCCGUAAACCCAAGGUUUCCAGGGGAAGGUUCGUCCGCCCUGGGUUAGUCGGGACCUAAGCUGAGGCCGAAAGGCGUAGGUGAUGGACAACAGGUUGAUAUUCCUGUACUACCGAUAACCGUUUGAGAGAAGGGAUGACACAGUAGGAUAAGCUAAGCACACUGUUGGUUAUGUGUGCCCAAGCAUUGAGGCAGUCAAAGUAGGCAAAUCCGCUUUGAUAAUGCUAGGAUGUGAUGGGGAGCGAAAUUUAGUAGCGAAGUAGCUGAUUUCACACUGUCAAGAAAAGUCUCUAUCGAGGUUAAAGGUACCCG